GACGAACGCUGGCGGCGUGCUUAACACAUGCAAGUCGAACGGAAAGGCCUCUUUCGGGGGGUACUCGAGUGGCGAACGGGUGAGUAACACGUGAGUAACCUGCCCUUGACUUUGGGAUAACUUCAGGAAACUGGGGCUAAUACCGGAUAGGAGCUCCUGCUGCAUGGUGGGGGUUGGAAAGUUUCGGCGGUUGGGGAUGGACUCGCGGCUUAUCAGCUUGUUGGUGGGGUAGUGGCUUACCAAGGCUUUGACGGGUAGCCGGCCUGAGAGGGUGACCGGCCACAUUGGGACUGAGAUACGGCCCAGACUCCUACGGGAGGCAGCGGUGGGGAAUAUUGCACAAUGGGUGGAAGCCUGAUGCAGCGACGCCGUGUGCGGGAUGACGGCCUUCGGGUUGUAAACCGCUUUCGCUCAUGACGAAGCUUUGUGUGACGGUAGUGGGUAAAGAAGCACCGGCUAACUACGUG
Molecule: ribosomal RNA, 467 nt
Filed under: uncultured bacterium
Lineage: Bacteria
Description: partial 16S ribosomal RNA
Rfam family: Bacterial small subunit ribosomal RNA
Source: RNAcentral